This 582-nucleotide ribosomal RNA is filed under the name uncultured bacterium. RNAcentral describes it as "bacterial SSU rRNA". It matches the Rfam family "Bacterial small subunit ribosomal RNA", at positions 338 to 916 of the family's 1533-position model. The record is from RNAcentral.
CCUACGGGAGGCAGCAGUGAGGAAUAUUGGUCAAUGGACGAAAGUCUGAACCAGCCAUGCCGCGUGAAGGAUGACGGCCCUACGGGUUGUAAACUUCUUUUGUACAGGAAGAAACCCCCCUACGUGUAGGGGGCUGACGGUACUAUACGAAUAAGCACCGGCUAACUCCGUGCCAGCAGCCGCGGUAAGACGGAGGAUGCAAGUGUUAUCCGGAAUCACUGGGCGUAAAGCGUCUGUAGGUGGUUAAACAAGUCAACUGUUAAAUCUUGAAGCUCAACUUCAAAAUCGCAGUCGAAACUGUUUGACUAGAGUAUAGUAGGGGUAAAGGGAAUUUCCAGUGGAGCGGUGAAAUGCGUAGAUAUUGGAAAGAACACCGAUGGCGAAGGCACUUUACUGGGCUAUUACUGACACUCAGAGACGAAAGCUAGGGUAGCAAAUGGGAUUAGAUACCCCAGUAGUCCUAGCCGUAAACAAUGGAUACUAGAUGUUGAACAGAUCGACCUGUGCAGUAUCAAAGCUAACGUGUUAAGUAUCCCGCCUGGGAAGUAUGCUCGCAAGAGUGAAACUCAAAUGAAUUGACGG